CAGAAGGAAUGCCAGUUUGCCAAUCAGGGGUAAUGACUUACACCCAGCUGGUAUGCAGGCAUCCCUCCUCAGCUGUUGCAAACUACAGUCCCACCCCCAUCAGCAGAGCCAGUGCUGGUAAAUGGCCUCAAAGAGCACUUCUAACACAGCAGUUGGUGGGUAAGGAUCAUAGUGGUUGCUACCCUCAUGAACAAGCAGUUUCAGGAGGUGAGCUAAGGUAGCAGGAGGGCAGCCUAUCUAUUUCUCAGCAUGCUUCUAUUUUUUUUGUUUGUUUUUAAUGUUGAUGGCUAAUUUCACUUUGCUAAGAGAUUCCUCUAUGUCAUCUUAUGAGCAGAUGAUUUCCUCAUUACCAACAGUGAACUAAGCUUCAAGAAAAUAAAUUAAUGCUGUGUAUUAUGGAAAACCUCUGCAAUUUUUUUUCUAGAACACUUGAAGUCUGGGAAGUUUCUGUAUUAUAUCAAAGACAUUCAAAAUGUAGUGCAAGAAAUUAAACCCUGCUUCAGGUAAACAGUAACACUCUACAUACAGAGUAGGCAAGGUAUUUUGUCUACUGAUUUGCCUACAGACAAGAUAUGUUAAAGUAGGAUGGAGUCAUAGCUUUUUGUGAUGCUGAGAGUUGUGAUUAUGUUGGUAAAGAGUAAAUAAUUCUCAGAAAGCAAAGCGGAGAAGAGACAUAUAAUAAAUGAUGCAAGUAGUCAGUGAAACAGCGUGGUCCAUCCAUCUGGGGAUGGGAUCUACUGGAGGAAGCAGUUACAACUCCUUGGGGCUCAGAUCAGGAAAUGCUUUAGGGAACAGAUUUACAACCUGUAUUUCUCCCAUCCUUCUCUUAGGUACCUGUGCUUACUUCCAUGUGGAACCUUGCUCUUCUCAGCUAGCAAAAUCACUGUCCAGGCGUACUGGAAGAUGAUACAUCGUGGCACAUCAAAAUUUCUGCUGUCAACAAGCCUGACAGAAUGCAUGGAAUUUUUAUUGCAGCAGGGGGAGUACGAUGCUGCUAGUGCCCAAACUUACCUUUAACCUCUUCUUAAGCAUGCUACAUGUAUUUGACUUGCAUAAAUGACUGACAAAAGACUGUUUAUGAUACUCUGUCAGAUGCUGCGUGCACAAGUUCUCUUGUUUUCAAGAGCUACCAGCAUUUGGCCUUUUCAGAGGUCUUAUGUCUCCUGGAAGCUAUUUCCGUUCAUUCCUGUUGCUGACAGGGACUACUAAACCUCAGAGACCCACUGCAUAAUGCAUGAUAAUAUGUUAUGUUAAUACAUGCUAUUGCCAUGUGUGUAGUAAUCUGCAGGCUGCUAGAUUAAUUUGCUUUUAGGCGUUUGUGGAGAGCUGUGUGUCUUUUGGGACAUUCACUGAUAAAUAUAAGGAUAAGAGUAUUCUAGUGAGCUAUGAACAGUAUAGUACAGCUAGGCUUCAGUGCAACCUUUAGUUGGAAAAAACAACGCUUGAUGACACAGACAUGAUAAGACUCUUUCUCAGAAAGAGGCUAUGAAACCUAAAAUAAGUAUUUUUUUAAAAAAUGGAUUAUAUAUACACCAGCCUGGAAUGAGAAAGGAAACAUCUGCUCAGUGUUGUUUUGAAGCAGAAAAAUGAAUUGUGUUUCAUCACGGAAGUAUGUUUUGCGGGUUAACUAUUCCAUCCCCGGUUAAAUAUGUUAUCCCUAUCACUUCUUGAACUUGAUAUGUUUGCAGAAGUGGGGCUGUCUGAGGAAGGUGUUUAACUGUCCAAAUAUUGUUCUAUGUAUAUUUUGAAGAUUGCAUCUUAAGGAAUUUAACUCAAACCUUGUUCAUGACCUCUUGUGACCUCUUAUGGUACGAGACACCCAGUGAGGGCUGAAUAAAUGUACUUUACAACUUA
Molecule: non-coding RNA, 1854 nt
Organism: Anas platyrhynchos (mallard)
Lineage: Eukaryota; Metazoa; Chordata; Aves; Anseriformes; Anatidae
Source: RefSeq, a predicted model, not a curated record